Molecule: small RNA, 509 nt
Filed under: Pongo abelii (Sumatran orangutan)
Lineage: Eukaryota; Metazoa; Chordata; Mammalia; Primates; Hominidae
Description: retained intron
Source: RNAcentral
AGGUGCUGCUUGACCUUGCUAGUUUAAUUUUUGAAGAACAACAAUCAUUAGAAGUAAUUCUGAAGAAAAUAGCUGCCACUAUUAUCUCUUUCAUGCAAGUGCAGAAAUGCACAAUUUUCAUAGUGGAUGAAGAUUGCUCCGAUUCUUUUUCUAGUGUGUUUCACAUGGAGUGUGAGGAAUUAGAAAAAUCAUCUGAUACAAUAACAAGGGAACAUGAUGCAAACAAAAUCAAUUACAUGUAUGCUCAGUAUGUCAAAAAUACUAUGGAACCACUUAAUAUCCCAGAUGUCAGUAAGGAUAAAAGAUUUCCCUGGACAACUGAAAAUACAGGAAAUGUAAACCAGCAGUGCAUUAGAAGUUUGCUUUGUACACCUAUAAAAAAUGGAAAGAAGAAUAAAGUUAUAGGUAAAGCCUUUCCUUUAACCUAUGCUCUAAUUUUUAAAAAUGUAUUCCCAGCUAUACUUCUUUCUUUCAAAUGUAAAGAAUAAAAUGUUUUAAAAAAGAUAAAA